AUAUCUCUUUGGGCAAUGUAUACAAUCUAUACAAUGCCCUGUGACAGAGAAAGCGAUCUCCUUUUCCAGAGUUCAAUUAUUUGUCAAGCAAUCAUUUUACUCUUCCAACAACUACUGCAUAAAUGGGAAAACGAAACCGAUUUUGUUUUGUUCUCCGCGCUCCCAGCACCAGGUGGAACCACGCGCGGCGCUUCCGAUCUCGGAGGAUGUAACAAGACGAGCGGUUGACGAAGCUGCGUUGUGUAGCCAGCCGGUUUAUCUUUUUAUGUUGUACAGUUUGUUAGUUUACCGUAAAUAUGUCUUGAUUUGUACUCAAGAGUGGAGCAAGGCCCUAUGGAACAGAGAUUGACGCAUCGUCAGCGAAGAACAGACGCGAUGGAUGGUUAGGCUGCUUGACUCUCGGCUGUACGACUCUCGGCAUGUUAGGACUAGCAAAGUUCCGAAUUUGUCGCGGUGUGGUGUACGCUUCUGUGCUCGUCAAGUGCCGUCAGAGCGCGGGGAUGUUUGAACGGAAUGUGUCCCUUCGUCUACAAAACUCUGCACGCUGCGGCAUCGAAGUCCUGUGUACGGGUGCACGUAUGCGCUUGGAUACGGGAUAGCCUGCCCUCAACGGAUGUUCAACAGUGUACGCACGCUGCGCGUACGCGUACGUAUGAGACUAGUUGCUGGUGUCCUGCUGGAGCUGAGAAGAGAUCUGCUGCCUACCAUGAGACCAUGUCUCUCAAGUUACCGCAAUAUUGUUGCCUUCAAACCUGUCGAGACAAGGUUUCUUUACAUGGCCAUGGCGCUCAAGGAUGAAACAGAGACUGUAGACUGCCAACGUUCAUUCCUGUUCCGGCAAAGACGGGCCAGCAGUAACCAGCAGGAUUUUACAAAGUGAACUCAUCACAGCUUGAGCCACUCCAUGCCACAAGCAGUUGCUCCUCGAGCCACCGUGAAAAGGUUCCUUGGGGCACAAGUCCAACUCAGCGCCACAACCUUUCUUCUGCAGUUUUUCUACCUACUUAGCUAACCAGCAGCAAGUUUAUCCUUGCAAGCCAUGUGGGAACAGCUUUCACCAGGAAACAGUGCAAGACGAGUGGUCGAAGAAAAUAAAAUUGCUUCUGUGAUCUAAAGUACUUGACGAAUAAAAUUUUGCACUU
Long non-coding RNA from Dermacentor silvarum, 1142 nucleotides. RefSeq lists it as uncharacterized. The record is from RefSeq and is a predicted model, not a curated record. Lineage: Eukaryota; Metazoa; Arthropoda; Arachnida; Ixodida; Ixodidae. The transcript is spliced from 4 exons.